This 1366-nucleotide long non-coding RNA is filed under the name Sus scrofa (pig). Its description in RNAcentral is "lncRNA (ENSSSCG00070011334.1)". The record is from RNAcentral. Lineage: Eukaryota; Metazoa; Chordata; Mammalia; Artiodactyla; Suidae.
CCAGGCUCUGCCCGCCCUGCAGGAAGCUGAGGGCCUCUUGCUGGAGGUGAUCAACCCAGACCUUGGUCAGUGCCCCUCUCCCUGCUUCCCUCCAUCUCUGUCCUCUGACAAUGCUGCCUCUUCCAGGAAGCCCCCCAAGGUGGCCCCAGCUCCAGAGCUCUGCUCCUACAGUAGAUUGUGGGCCAGGAUCCCUCGCCCAAGACAGUUCUGCAGGCCUGGCUUUGCCUUCUCAGGGGUUUGUGGUCUAGAGGGGUGGGGAGCCACCCCAGCCAUCAACUCCCUGCUUUGUUCUGAACCUCAGGUCAGCCUGGCAUCACCCUCCCCAGCUAUGCUGUGGUUCUCCUCGUUCUGGGCUUCCUGCUCACUGCACUCGCCCUUGUCCUGGUGCUGAAGAGGAAGACCUGCUUCCGGCAGUUCAGCCAUACACAGUGAGGUACAGAGGUCAGGCCCUGAAGAGCUGAACGUGGCAAGAUGAUGGCCUGCGGAAGAUGCAGGAAGGGGAACAAAGCUGGCUCCCUCCCGCCUGGCCUGGCUUCGUGGUGGGGCUGGAGGUAUAUGGGUCUCAAGACAAACUCCUGUCCUUUGGGGUAUGGAAAAUUAAAUGACAAGGAGCUAUCAGAAGUUGGUGUAAGAGGUUGAUUUGGGGAGUUCCCGUUGUGGCGCAGUGGUUAACGAAUCCGACUAGGAACCAUGAGGUUGCGGGUUCGGUCCCUGCCCUUGCUCAGUGGGUUAAUGAUCCGGCGUUGCCGUGAGCUGUGGUGUAGGUUGUAGACGCGGCUCGGAUCACGUGUUGCUGUGGCUCUGGCGUAGGCUGGUGGCUACAGCUCCGAUUCAACCCCUAGCCUGGGAACCUCCAUAUGCCGCGGGAGCGGCCCAAGAAAUAGCAACAACAACAACAAAAGACAAAAGACAAAAAAAAAAAAAAAAAAAGAGGUUGAUUUGGGAGUUCCCAUCGUGGCACAGCAGAAACGAAUCUGACUAGGAACCAUGAGGUUGCGGGUUUGAUCCCUGGCCUUGCUCAGUGGGUUAAAGAUCUGGCGUUGCUGUGAGCUGUGGUGUAGGUCGCAGAUGCGGCUCAGAUCUGGCAUUGCUGUGGCGUAGGCCUAUGGCUACAGCUCCGAUUGGACCCCUAGCCUAGGAACCUCCAUAUGCCAUGGGUGUGGCCCUAAAGACAAAAGACAAAAAAAAAAAAAAAAAAAGAGUUUGCUUUUGCAUUUGUUUCUAGGUGGUCAUCCAACAUGAGGACAUAGGGGAGGUUCAGAGUGGAGCCCACAGGAGGAGGUACAGGCAGUGGACUGAAGGUCAGGGGUGGAGAUGGGGGCUCUGUGGGGUGAAGGCCUGGUCCCAGCUCCACCCCCAUCUUAGG